AUAUUGGGCCCACCUGGAUAAUUUGGCUAGUCUCCCCAUUUCUAGAUCCUUAAAUUAACCACAUCUGCAAAGUUCUUUUUGCCAAGUAAGGUAACAUAUUCACAGCUUCAAGGAACUAGGAUGCGGACAUCUUUGUCGGCCCAUUUCUCUCUCUACCACCGUUCCAUUAGAGCAGAUAAGGAGAAAACAGUGACUGAAGCCUUCCAGAUGACCUUAAGAUCAUCCAAAGUGAUAUUUUGACUUCCCCUAUGGAUUGGAGAUUGGCUUCCUGGCACCUGCUGGACAGGCUUGACAUUUAAAACAGAGCUUCUCUCUGGAACCCAAAGUACAGCCAAUCCUCUGUUCAUCUGAAAAUAAUCCAUCUCCUUAGCUCUAAGACCUUGAGCUCAAAGAGAAUACAUUAUUUGAGAAAAAAAAAAAAUGAAACAAAGAAGAGAAAUUAAAUCUCUCCCUGCCCUUCAUGGCUUCUAACUUCAGCUUCCAGUUUUUUUCCCAAAAUAACUUCAACAUCUAGCAAAUUGACAGGAGUUCUCAGUAGCUGAGGCAAUGGUGGCUAUUAAUUGAGGUAAUUCAACUUCUCGCUUAAAACACAAUAAGAGGGGCCGGGCCAGUGGCACAGCGGUUAAGUGCGCACCUUCCCCUUCGGUGGCCUGGGGUUCGCUGGUUCGGAUCCCGGGUGCGGACAUGGCACCGCUUGGCACGCCAUGCUGUGGCAGGCAUCCCACGUAUAAAGUAGAGGAUGAUGGGCAAGGAUGUUAGCUCAGGGCCAGCCUUCCUCAGCAAAAAGAGGAGGAUUGGCAGCAGUUAACUCAGGGCUAAUCUUCCUCAAAAAAAAAAAAAAAAAAAAACCACUAAGAAAAAACAGAACAAAGACAAUUAGGGAAAUUGGAUCUAAAAUUAAUCCCAAAUCCUCAUCAGAAAUGAAAGAUCAUUUAAUAGGUGAAAAUAGAGCUUGCAGGGAUAAGAUUUCUGAGGGCACGUUACAUGUAAAGCUAUGGCCCUGGGGGUGGGGGUGCAAAGAGAACAGAAAGGGAAGGGCCUCCUUUGGAAGAAUCGUGAUGAAAGGAAAAAGAAUAAGUGGGAAAAGUCAGGAUAAUUCAGGGCAAAAGAUAUUUAAAAAAAAUCAAAAGGCACACAACCUGUCUCCCAUUUCUUCACUCCUCCUUAAGAAAAAUCUAGUGAAAACCUUAUUUUGUAACAGAGACAGAAGUCGGUGAUUUUGAACCAAGAUUCUUAGGAAACACAAAUCGCCAGUCCUGCCCACAAAGACGCAGCAAAUCAAACAGUCCUCUUCUUUGAAAACCGUGACAAACUUUAAAUAAAAAUGUGACACUAUACAAUUCAGCUGGCAAAAGUUUUCCCCGAAGAAACAAAACGGUGGUGAGGCAGAAGAAAACUGCAACAUGACACUUGAAAUUUAAUUAACUAUCUUAAACCAAACAUUUGUGGACAUGAAACAUUGUCUUGAAUCAGAAGUUCAAAAUAUAAAACAUUAUGUCAAAAAAAGCGAGAAGAAAUAAAGCAAUUGAUUGAACCAAGGAAAGAAAUGAAAGGACUGAUAAAAUCUGGUUAUACAAGCUGACCAGGGAAGAAUAAAUUUGAAGAAAACAUAAAAUAUAAUACAGAGAGAUAGAUGUGUAGGCAGGUGAAAGAAAGAGAGAAGGCAGAAAGGAAGGAAGGAAGGGAGAGAGGGAAAGAGAGAGAAAGAAACUAAUAAAACAAAUGGAUAAAAUGUUAACAACAGGUGCAUCUUGGUAAAGGGUACAUGGUGUUAUCUGUACUAUUUUUGUUUUUGCAACCUUUUUAAAAUUUGAAAUUAUUACCAAGUACAAAAUUUAAUACGCAUAUCACAUUGGAGAGUUAUAAGAAAGACGUAAGACACUGCCCUUUAGAACUCGUAAUCAAGGGGGUUAGAGCCACGGAAAAUUUUAACUAUAACACUUUCAAUCCUUGAAUAUCAUUCUUUACCCAGUCACAAGUUCUCUUCUGUUAACAAUUAAUAUUCUUUCACAUAGUUUUAAAAUAGUGAUCUUUCAGUAAACGUACUCCUUCAAGAAUAUAGCCAUUGAUACUUUUACUUUAAAAAUCCCUAUUCUCAGAGCCGGCCCCAUGGCUGAGUGGUUAAUUUCAAGUGCUCAGCUUCUUCAGCCCAGGGUUUAGCCGAUUGGGAUCCUGGGCACAGACGUGGCACCACUCGUCAGGCCAUGCUGAGGUGGCAUCACUCAUGGCACAACCAGAAGGACCUGGAGUUAGAAUAUACAACUAUGUACUGGGGGGUCUUUGGGGAGAAGAAGAAGAAGAAAAAAUCCCAUUCUCCAUUGUGAAUUAUCUAUUUAUAUAUUUUGUCUGUUUGAUUGUUGGUUUGACUUGAAUGUUUAUAAGUGAUUUGUAAAUAUUUUUAUAUGUCAAAAAUGGUUUUAAAAAGAAAAAAUUAUAAGGGUUAUGGAAUAAAAGCAGGAUUAGAAAAACAAGGAAAUUUAAAAGAUAUAAAAAUAAUAAAAGUCAGAGAGAAAUGUUUAGAAUGGAAGACAGGAAAAGAAGAAAUCAUAUGUUUAAUAGGAAUUUUUAAGCAAGCAAAACAAAACAGACAUAUUCUGAUUGUGAAUAAAAUGGUUUGUUAUUCUGCAACUGCGGUAACCUGCUUACUUUGCAUUGAAUAGAACUUAGUGUCACAGCUACACCUAGCUCCAAGGGAGGACAGACGACGCUGUUUUCCUUCUAAGCAUUUUUGUACCAAGCUGAGCACGGGGAGUGCAGUGACCAAGAAGAAAAUGGCAAAUAGAUCCAAAUAAAUGGAAAACAAAUACCAUCUGAUAGUGUAUGAUUAAAUUAGAUUAAAAGUGUAUCUUUGUAGUCCCAGAACAAGCAGCAAAACCUUCUACCCCACUUGCUGUUUGACUUGCAGUCUGGAGACAGUGCUUAUCUCUUUCAGCUCUAAUGUAAAAAUAUAUAGAAGACUUUUUAAUUUAUUCAGCAGUCUACUAUUGCAAUACAAUGUAGAUUGUUCAAAUUAAGCUUGACUGGGCAGAUAAUCUUUGAAAACUCCCUCCCCUUGUCUAUAUAACUUUAUGAUUUCUCUUUCAAUCUUUUAAACUUAAAGGUUUAAGGGGACAAAAUUACUCUGCCUUGAACCUGCAAGUGAUAACUUCUAGCAGAUAGGGUACCCAUCAAUGUCAUUGAUGUCUUUUAAAAGAGUGAAAAUGUUGACCUGUGUUCCCAUGAAUGUUCCUCCAGCCAUCCAGCUUCAUGUGAAGAAAAUAUACUUCCAACCUGUAUAUUGCUUCUGAUAAAACAGCAAACCUCCAGGGCUCUGGGGGGUUUAGUUGAUACAACAGUUCUUUAAAGAUGUUCCUGAGGAGAGACCAUUCGGAUCAUCUGUCUUGAUAUCACCUGUUAUCCAUUUCUAUUCUGAUUCUUCACAUUCUUUGACAUUUUGUUAUGUCUACGGGGAAAAUGCACAUUUCAGGUAAAUUUACAAUUUUUAGUCCAUUUUCUAAGCAUAGAGAUGUACCCUAAUUAAGCAAUUGAAUUUAUGGAAAUCAAAAAAAUACAGCAAGUUUCAGUUCUUUUGCUAAAUAUAUAUUUUAGUGUUUUAUCCUUAACGCAUAGUAAGAACUUCACCACCAUGAAAAUAUCUACAAAUUAAAAAAUGGAAAUGCAGGCAGUAAGAAAUGUUUGAAACCUCUGCUAUAAAUUUGUAUGCCAGUGAGUAAUAAUAAUAUUGUAUAGAACAGACUUAUGAAUUCUGAAGUAAUUUUUCAAUUCUUAAGAAACACUUUUCCCAUUACUGUAACUGUUUUAUUUUACUCUGUUGAAUUUGAGAGCGGAACACUUUUGCUACUUAGUAAUUAACAGAUAAAAUCUGUUAUAAUAUGUCAUUAUAGAUCAUGGCCAAAUAAAAAGCAAGCACCAGAUGGUGUGCUUUAUGUUAAGCUACAGUGCACAUGCAUUAGGACUUCUUUUUCUCUCCCAGGAAAAUUGCAAUUUAUUUUAGAGACAUCCUUUACACUACGGAAGCUGUGGAGCAAGAAGCUGUUUUUACUAGCAUAGAAUCCACAAAAAGUGUGGCAUCAUCUCCAGCUUUACUGCUCUGUGAAGAAACAAUACAAUGCUUCAUUAUUUUCCCUUCUUGUUCCUCUCCACCCCCCUUCUCCUCUUCUCUUUAUCAUAUGGACUGUUGACAUGGGACAACUGAAGCUAAAUUAUAGUAAGCCUGAUUUUCUAGCCAUUGUUAAUAAAAAUAUUAGAAGAUUUAACAAUUACGGAAAUUCUUUAUUAGCCUUUCUUUUAUUGACAUUCUGUUAUAUUCUGAGGGAAAUUAUGCCCCAUCCCCAUCCCCCAACAAUGAUGUGGCUCUUAAAAUUUGCCUCCCAUUGUGCUCUCAUUGAUACCCAGGCUCUUUUUGUGGUCUCUA
RNAcentral lists this long non-coding RNA (4414 nucleotides) under Equus caballus (horse). Its description in RNAcentral is "lncRNA (ENSECAG00000054953.1)". The record is from RNAcentral. Lineage: Eukaryota; Metazoa; Chordata; Mammalia; Perissodactyla; Equidae.